This is a non-coding RNA of Acanthosepion pharaonis, 111 nucleotides long. Lineage: Eukaryota; Metazoa; Mollusca; Cephalopoda; Sepiida; Sepiidae. The record is from the annotation of a GenBank genome assembly.
UUGCGGCCAAAUCGCGUUGAAACAACGGUUCUCGUCUGAUCAGCGAGGUUAAGUAUUAUUGAGCCUGAUCGGUACUUAGUUGGUUGUCCGCUGGAGAAUACCAGGUGCUGA